Mus pahari (shrew mouse) is the source of this 2175-nucleotide RNA transcript. It is a transcript of the gene named suppressor of cytokine signaling 2, with no coding region annotated. The record is from RefSeq and is a predicted model, not a curated record. Lineage: Eukaryota; Metazoa; Chordata; Mammalia; Rodentia; Muridae. The transcript has 5 exons.
AGCGCACCGCUGCACCCUCGGCUGGCGACUCAGGAGCCCUGCGGCGCUUUAGGGCGUGGAACCAGGUUUUGCUGGAUGCAUCCUCCCAAGGGCCCUGGGGCUGCUCGAAAUGUAGGAUGGAAAUGCCAAGGGCAUAGAACUGCCCUGUUCUUUGUGUAAUGUUCCCCCCCCCCCACUUGCCCAUGACAAAGGCCUAUCCAUCUGGACCCGCAGGUGACUGUUUCCUGGGCUGCCUGUGUGUAAUUCCAGCACACAGUUCUUCGGCGGGAAAACACCUUGUUUACUCUCAUCCUGUCUCCCUCCCCACCCCUCUUCUCUGGCCAACUUUAGUGUCUUGGAUCCCUGCCCUUUUUACCCGUCUUUCCCCAGAGUUGGGCAGGGCGUUAGCUGGAUGCUCGGGGUUAAAUGGUACAGAACACGCAGGCGGAGGAGUCCCUGGGAUUUUCCACGUGUCUGUUUACCCACCCCCAUCUCGGCCAUGGGGUUCAGUCCAGACUGACCCAAUCUCUGUCCCAUUGUUUCUUCACAGGCGAUCUGUGGGUGACUGUGUCUGCGAGAGACUUUGCCACACCAUUCUGCCAGAACUUGGAGAAAAAGAACCCGCCGCUUCUAGUCCCCUCCCCCUCCGCCACCAUUUCGGACACCCUGCAUACUCUCGUUUUGGGGUACCCUGUGACUUCCAGGCAGCACGCGAGGUCCACUGGCCCCAGCUCGAGCGACCACCUGUCUCGGACGUGUUGACUCAUCUCCCAUGACCCUGCGGUGCCUGGAGUCCUCCGGGAAUGGAGCGGACAGGACGCGGAGCCAGUGGGGGACCGCGGGGUCGCCGGAGGAACAGUCCCCCGAGGCGGCGCGGCUGGCGAAGGCCCUACGCGAGCUCAGUCAAACAGGAUGGUACUGGGGAAGUAUGACUGUUAAUGAAGCCAAAGAGAAAUUAAAAGAGGCCCCAGAAGGAACUUUCUUGAUUAGAGAUAGUUCACAUUCAGACUACCUACUAACUAUAUCCGUUAAGACGUCAGCUGGACCGACUAACCUGCGGAUUGAGUACCAAGAUGGGAAAUUCAGAUUGGAUUCUAUCAUAUGCGUCAAGUCCAAGCUCAAACAGUUUGACAGUGUGGUUCAUCUGAUUGACUACUAUGUCCAGAUGUGUAAGGAUAAACGGACAGGCCCAGAAGCCCCGCGGAAUGGGACCGUUCACCUGUACCUGACCAAACCUCUUUAUACAUCAGCACCGACUCUGCAACAUUUCUGUCGACUCGCCAUUAACAAAUGUACCGGUACGAUCUGGGGACUGCCUUUACCAACAAGACUAAAAGAUUACUUGGAAGAAUAUAAAUUCCAGGUACCUUGCUGAACUCUUAAAUGGUUCUAAGAGUUCACUGAAGAGUCUGGAUUUAAGGAAACAUGGUGAACAGUUUUAUUGAAAACCAAGGCUUGGAAAUGUUAGGUGACCCGCCCCAAGUCAGCCUUUCACAAGCAGAGCCCAGGGUGCGCUGUGAGUCACCAGUCGGACAUCACAGCUCUCGAUUUCGAACAUAUUUCCUUCCCACCUCGCCACAUUCCAUCUUGACACUGAGAGACUCAAGAUAUUUUUUCAACACAGCAUCCUCUGUGGCAAUUGCUUGACAAUUUACAGGGCUUCCAGGAACUGCAUGGAACAUAGUCUUAGGAUAUGCAAUAGAACCCAUCAGACUCUGGACAAAGUUCCACAGGCGAGACCAGAAGAGAAGCCUGCCUGCCCCUCGCUGAUUGCUUUAACCCAAGUUAAGACCAAGUUCAGGAUCCCUUGCCUGCUGAGAUGAUUGAGGGGUGUCAUAGGAGAAACUACAUCUGGGAAAUUUCUCACCAGGAUCUACUGAUCUCACGUCAACGGACUAUGGAGAACAAAUGUUGGUUUGGUUUGCCAAACAGAAGGACAGAGAGCACCCAGCACCCUUGUGGACCUAAUACACGUAGUUUCGGUUUGGUAUCUCUCAGCAGGAAUGUGGUUCUGUUUCCUGAUGAGAUUCUGUGGGCUGCAAGAGCUUCAGUAACGUCGUGGCAAUGUGGAAGAAGAAUGCCUCGCUGAACACCUGCACCUGGGGUUGGCUCAAACAGCUCAGGAGACCUUACCUGCUCAAGGCUCAGUUUCCAAACACUUCCCUUUCUUUCUGUUCUUCUGAACUGGAAGAUUCU